GAUGAACGCUGGCGGCGUGCCUAAUACAUGCAAGUCGAGCGAAUGGACGAGAAGCUUGCUUCUCUGAUGUUAGCGGCGGACGGGUGAGUAACACGUGGAUAACCUACCUAUAAGACUGGGAUAACUUCGGGAAACCGGAGCUAAUACCGGAUAAUAUUUUGAACCGCAUGGUUCAAAAGUGAAAGACGGUCUUGCUGUCACUUAUAGAUGGAUCCGCGCUGCAUUAGCUAGUUGGUAAGGUAACGGCUUACCAAGGCAACGAUGCAUAGCCGACCUGAGAGGGUGAUCGGCCACACUGGAGCUGAGACACGGUCCAGACUCCUACGGGAGGCAGCAGUAGGGAAUCUUCCGCAAUGGGCGAAAGCCUGACGGAGCAACGCCGCGUGAGUGAUGAAGGUCUUCGGAUCGUAAAACUCUGUUAUUAGGGAAGAACAUAUGUGUAAGUAACUGUGCACAUCUUGACGGUACCUAAUCAGAAAGCCACGGCUAACUACGUG
Molecule: ribosomal RNA, 497 nt
Filed under: uncultured bacterium
Lineage: Bacteria
Description: partial 16S ribosomal RNA
Rfam family: Bacterial small subunit ribosomal RNA
Source: RNAcentral